Molecule: non-coding RNA, 45 nt
Filed under: Schistosoma mattheei
Lineage: Eukaryota; Metazoa; Platyhelminthes; Trematoda; Strigeidida; Schistosomatidae
Source: RNAcentral
AUCCAACUAACGAGUCUCAAACGGGACGAAACGCACGUCUUGGAU